GCCGAAGUGGCGGAAUUGGUAGACGCGCCAUCUUGAGGGGGUGGUGUCUUUUUGAUGUGCGGGUUCGAGUCCCGCCUUCGGCA
RNAcentral lists this transfer RNA (83 nucleotides) under bacterium. Its description in RNAcentral is "tRNA-Leu". It matches the Rfam family "tRNA". From Rfam's summary of the family: Transfer RNA (tRNA) molecules are approximately 80 nucleotides in length. Their secondary structure includes four short double-helical elements and three loops (D, anti-codon, and T loops). Further hydrogen bonds mediate the characteristic L-shaped molecular structure. tRNAs have two regions of fundamental functional importance: the anti-codon, which is responsible for specific mRNA codon recognition, and the 3' end, to which the tRNAs corresponding amino acid is attached (by aminoacyl-tRNA synthetases). tRNAs cope with the degeneracy of the genetic code in two manners: having more than one tRNA (with a specific anti-codon) for a particular amino acid; and 'wobble' base-pairing, i.e. permitting non-standard base-pairing at the 3rd anti-codon position. RNAcentral also lists the same sequence under 1 other name. The record is from RNAcentral.